RNAcentral lists this ribosomal RNA (253 nucleotides) under uncultured bacterium. Its description in RNAcentral is "partial 16S ribosomal RNA". It matches the Rfam family "Bacterial small subunit ribosomal RNA", at positions 524 to 776 of the family's 1533-position model. The record is from RNAcentral.
UACGUAGGGUCCGAGCGUUGUCCGGAAUUACUGGGCGUAAAGAGCUCGUAGGCGGUUUGUCGCGUUGUUCGUGAAAACUCACAGCUUAACUGUGGGCGUGCGGGCGAUACGGGCAGACUAGAGUACUGCAGGGGAGACUGGAAUUCCUGGUGUAGCGGUGAAAUGCGCAGAUAUCAGGAGGAACACCAGUGGCGAAGGCGGUGCUCUGGGCCGGAACUGACGCUGAGGAGCGAAAGCGUGGGGAGCAAACAGG